UGGCUCAGAUUGAACGCUGGCGGCAGGCCUAACACAUGCAAGUCGAACGGUAACAGGAAGCAGCUUGCUGCUUCGCUGACGAGUGGCGGACGGGUGAGUAAUGUCUGGGAAACUGCCUGAUGGAGGGGGAUAACUACUGGAAACGGUGGCUAAUACCGCAUAACGUCGCAAGACCAAAGAGGGGGACCUUCGGGCCUCUUGCCAUCAGAUGUGCCCAGAUGGGAUUAGCUUGUUGGUGAGGUAACGGCUCACCAAGGCGACGAUCCCUAGCUGGUCUGAGAGGAUGACCAGCCACACUGGAACUGAGACACGGUCCAGACUCCUACGGGAGGCAGCAGUGGGGAAUAUUGCACAAUGGGCGCAAGCCUGAUGCAGCCAUGCCGCGUGUAUGAAGAAGGCCUUCGGGUUGUAAAGUACUUUCAGCGGGGAGGAAGGUGUUGUGGUUAAUAACCGCAGCAAUUGACGUUACUCGCAGAAGAAGCACCGGCUAACUCCGUGCCAGCAGCCGCGGUAGUACGGAGGGUGCAAGCGUUAAUCGGAAUUACUGGGCGUAAAGCGCACGCAGGCGGUCUGUCAAGUCGGAUGUGAAAUCCCCGGGCUCAACCUGGGAACUGCAUUCGAAACUGGCAGGCUUGAGUCUUGUAGAGGGGGUAGAAUUCCAGGUGUAGCGGUGAAAUGCGUAGAGAUCUGAGGAAUACCGGUGGCGAAGGCGGCCCCCUGGACAAAGACUGACGCUCAGGUGCGAAAGCGUGGGGAGCAAACAGGAUUAGAUACCCUGGUAGUCCACGCCGUAAACGAUGUCUACUUGGAGGUUGUGCCCUUGAGGCGUGGCUUCCGGAGCUAACGCGUUAAGUAGACCGCCUGGGGAGUACGGCCGCAAGGUUAAAACUCAAAUGAAUUGACGGGGGCCCGCACAGGCGGUGGAGCAUGUGGUUUAAUUCGAUGCAACGCGAAGAACCUUACCUGGUCUUGACAUCCACAGAAGAAUCCAGAGAUGGAUUUGUGCCUUCGGGAACUGUGAGACAGGUGCUGCAUGGCUGUCGUCAGCUCGUGUUGUGAAAUGUUGGGUUAAGUCCCGCAACGAGCGCAACCCUUAUCCUUUGUUGCCAGCGAUUAGGUCGGGAACUCAAAGGAGACUGCCAGUGAUAAACUGGAGGAAGGUGGGGAUGACGUCAAGUCAUCAUGGCCCUUACGACCAGGGCUACACACGUGCUACAAUGGCGCAUACAAAGAGAAGCGACCUCGCGAGAGCAAGCGGACCUCAUAAAGUGCGUCGUAGACCGGAUUGGAGUCUGCAACUCGACUCCAUGAAGUCGGAAUCGCUAGUAAUCGUGGAUCAGAAUGCCACGGUGAAUACGUUCCCGGGCCUUGUACACACCGCCCGUCACACCAUGGGAGUGGGUUGCAAAAGAAGUAGGUAGCUUAACCUUCGGGAGGGCGCUUACCACUUUGUGAUUCAUGACUGGGGUGAAGUCGUAACAAGGUA
RNAcentral lists this ribosomal RNA (1486 nucleotides) under uncultured bacterium. RNAcentral describes it as "16S ribosomal RNA". It matches the Rfam family "Bacterial small subunit ribosomal RNA". The record is from RNAcentral.